AUUGAACGCUGGCGGCAUGCUUUACACAUGCAAGUCGAACGGUAACAGGUUAAGCUGACGAGUGGCGAACGGGUGAGUAAUGCAUCGGAACGUUCCCGGUCGUGGGGGAUAACGCAGCGAAAGCUGCGCUAAUACCGCAUACGAUCUAAGGAUGAAAGCGGGGGACCGUAAGGCCUCGCGCGAUCGGAGCGGCCGAUGUCAGAUUAGGUAGUUGGUGGGGUAAAGGCUCACCAAGCCAACGAUCUGUAGCUGGUCUGAGAGGACGACCAGCCACACUGGGACUGAGACACGGCCCAGACUCCUACGGGAGGCAGCAGUGGGGAAUUUUGGACAAUGGGCGAAAGCCUGAUCCAGCAAUGCCACGUGCAGGAAGAAGGCCUUCGGGUUGUAAACUGCUUUUGUACGGAGCGAAAAGGUCUCCUCUAAUACAGGGGGCUCAUGACGGUACCGUAAGAAUAAGCACCGGCUAACUACGUGCCAGCAGCCGCGGUAA
RNAcentral lists this ribosomal RNA (493 nucleotides) under uncultured bacterium. RNAcentral's name for it is "partial 16S ribosomal RNA". It matches the Rfam family "Bacterial small subunit ribosomal RNA", at positions 30 to 523 of the family's 1533-position model. The record is from RNAcentral.